GUCCCCGUAGCUCAACGGAUAGAGUGUUAGCCUCCGGAGCUAAAAAUGCUGGUUCGAUUCCAGCCGGGGACG
RNAcentral lists this transfer RNA (72 nucleotides) under Candidatus Omnitrophota bacterium. RNAcentral's name for it is "tRNA-Arg". It matches the Rfam family "tRNA". Rfam says of the family: Transfer RNA (tRNA) molecules are approximately 80 nucleotides in length. Their secondary structure includes four short double-helical elements and three loops (D, anti-codon, and T loops). Lineage: Bacteria; Pseudomonadati; Candidatus Omnitrophota. The record is from RNAcentral.